GUAAAUAAUAAAGGGCGUAUGGUGGAUGCCUAGGCUCUCAGAGGCGAUGAAGGACGUGAUAAGCUGCGAAAAGCUCCGUUUAGGUGCAAAUAACCUUUGAUGCGGAGAUCUCCGAAUGGGAUAACCCAAUAUGUUGAAGACAUAUUAUACCGUAAGGUAGGCAAACGCAGGGAACUGAAACAUCUAAGUACCUGCAGGAGAAGAAAACAAAAGUGAUUCCCCCAGUAGCGGCGAGCGACCGGGGAUAAGCCCAAACCGUUAUUGUUUCGGCAGUAGCGGGGUAGUAGGACUGCGACAUUGAUGAAAUAAAUGAAAUGGAACACCUUGGAAAAUGUGAUCACAGAGGGUGAUAAUCCCGUACAUGCAAGUUUAUGAAUCAUAGCAGUAUCCUGAGUAAGUCGGGACACGUGUAAUCCUGACCGAAUCCGCCGGGACCAUCCGGCAAGGCUAAAUACUCCUGAGAGACCGAUAGUGAACCAGUACCGUGAGGGAAAGGUGAAAAGCACUUCGAACAGAAGAGUGAAAUAGUCCCUGAACCCAUACGCCUACAAGCAGUCGGAGCCGCUUCGUGCGGUGACGGCGUGCCUUUUGCAUAAUGAGCCUACGAGUUACUCAUCACCAGCGAGGUUAAGUACUUCAGGUACGUAAGCCGAAGCGAAAGCGAGUCUGAAUAGGGCGUCAAGUUGGUGGUGGUAGACGCGAAACCUUAGUGAUCUACCCAUGGGCAGGGUGAAGGUUUGGUAACACAAACUGGAGGCCCGAACCGGUAAACGUUGAAAAGUUUUCGGAUGACCUGUGGGUAGGGGUGAAAGGCCAAUCAAACUGGGAAAUAGCUCGUACUCUCCGAAAUGCAUUUAGGUGCAGCCUCUGUUGUUUUGUUCUAGAGGUAGAGCUACUGAUUGGAUGCGAGGGCUUCACCGCCUAUCAAAUCCGGCCAAACUCCGAAUGCUAGAACAUGAAGACAGGGAGUGAGCCAGCGGGUGCUAAGGUCCGUUGACGAAAGAGGGAGAACUCAGACCAUCAGCUAAGGUCCCCAAUUGUAUGCUAAGUUGGAAUUAAAACGGGGUGGGACUGCUUAGACAGCUAGGAUGUUGGCUUGGAAGCAGCCAUUCAUUUAAAGAGUGCGUAACAGCUCACUAGUCGAGCGGUCCUGCAUGGAUAAUACGCGGGCAUAAGCAUAUAACCGAAGCUAUGGGAUUGUAGAUGAUACAAUCGGUAGGAGAGCAUUCCAUUCAGCGUAGAAGCAGUAUCGUGAGGUAUUGUGGAGCGGAUGGAAAAGCAAAUGUAGGCAUAAGUAACGAUAAUGCGGGUGAGAACCCCGCACGCCGAAAGAUCAAGGAUUCCCCGGCAAUGUCAAUCAUCCGGGGGUAAGUCGGAUCCUAAGGGUAAGCCGAGUGGCGAUCCCGAUGGCAAACAGGUUAAUAUUCCUGUACUGAUCAUAACUGCGAUGCAGCGACGCAGAGGUGACACUGCUGCGUACUGACGGAAUAGUACGUUGAAACCCGUAUUCUUUGAUACCGGUAGUGAAGCACGCCGGUAGAGAUGAAAGGUGAUAGUACCGCAAUGCUUCGGUUGCGCGGAUAAUGCAGGUAAGCUGACUGCCAAGAAAACCUGCUAAGCUUCAGGUAAUGAUCAUCCGUACUGUAAACGGACACACGUGAUCAGGUAGAAAAUACUAAGGCGCUCGAGAGAUUCAUGGUUAAGGAACUAGGCAAAAUGGUCCUGUAACUUCGGGAUAAAGGACGCUCUUGUGAAAGAGCCGCAGAUAAUAGGCCCAGGCGACUGUUUACCAAAAACACAUGGCUAUGCUAAUUCGCAAGAAGAUGUAUAUGGCCUGACACCUGCCCGGUGCCGGAAGGUUAAGAGGAGAGCUCAGAGGUAACUCGAAGGUUUGAAUUGAAGCCCCGGUAAACGGCGGCCGUAACUAUAACGGUCCUAAGGUAGCGAAAUUCCUUGUCGGGUAAGUU
RNAcentral lists this ribosomal RNA (1967 nucleotides) under human gut metagenome. Its description in RNAcentral is "bacterial LSU rRNA". It matches the Rfam family "Bacterial large subunit ribosomal RNA", at positions 1 to 1982 of the family's 2925-position model. The record is from RNAcentral.